Molecule: ribosomal RNA, 3031 nt
Filed under: Listeria monocytogenes
Lineage: Bacteria; Bacillati; Bacillota; Bacilli; Caryophanales; Listeriaceae
Description: 23S ribosomal RNA
Rfam family: Bacterial large subunit ribosomal RNA
Source: RNAcentral
GGUUAAGUUAGAAAGGGCGCACGGUGGAUGCCUUGGCACUAGGAGCCGAAGAAGGACGGGACUAACACCGAUAUGCUUUGGGGAGCUGUACGUAAGCGUUGAUCCAGAGAUUUCCGAAUGGGGGAACCCACUAUCUUUAGUCGGAUAGUAUCCUUACGUGAAUACAUAGCGUGAGGAAGGCAGACCCAGGGAACUGAAACAUCUAAGUACCUGGAGGAAGAGAAAGAAAAAUCGAUUUCCUGAGUAGCGGCGAGCGAAACGGAAAGAGCCCAAACCAAGAAGCUUGCUUCUUGGGGUUGUAGGACACUCUAUACGGAGUUACAAAAGAAAGUUAUAAAUGAAGCGGUCUGGAAAGGCCCGCCAAAGACGGUAACAGCCCGGUAGUUGAAAUGGCUUUCCCUCCAGAGUGGAUCCUGAGUACGGCGGAACACGUGAAAUUCCGUCGGAAUCCGGGAGGACCAUCUCCCAAGGCUAAAUACUCCCUAGUGACCGAUAGUGAACCAGUACCGUGAGGGAAAGGUGAAAAGCACCCCGGAAGGGGAGUGAAACAGUUCCUGAAACCGUGUGCCUACAAGUAGUUAGAGCCCGUUAAUGGGUGAUAGCGUGCCUUUUGUAGAAUGAACCGGCGAGUUACGAUUUGUUGCAAGGUUAAGCGGAAAAAGCGGAGCCGUAGCGAAAGCGAGUCUGAAUAGGGCGCAUAAGUAACAGGUCGUAGACCCGAAACCAGGUGAUCUACCCAUGUCCAGGAUGAAGGUAAGGUAAUACUUACUGGAGGUCCGAACCCACGCACGUUGAAAAGUGCGGGGAUGAGGUGUGGGUAGCGGAGAAAUUCCAAUCGAACUUGGAGAUAGCUGGUUCUCUCCGAAAUAGCUUUAGGGCUAGCCUCGAGGUAAAGAGUCAUGGAGGUAGAGCACUGUUUGGACUAGGGGCCCUUCUCGGGUUACCGAAUUCAGAUAAACUCCGAAUGCCAUGUACUUAUACUCGGGAGUCAGACUGCGAGUGAUAAGAUCCGUAGUCGAAAGGGAAACAGCCCAGACCACCAGUUAAGGUCCCCAAAUAUAUGUUAAGUGGAAAAGGAUGUGGGGUUGCUUAGACAACCAGGAUGUUGGCUUAGAAGCAGCCACCAUUGAAAGAGUGCGUAAUAGCUCACUGGUCGAGUGACCCCGCGCCGAAAAUGUACCGGGGCUAAACAUAUUACCGAAACUGUGGAUGAACCUCUUUAGAGGUUCGUGGUAGGAGAGCGUUCUAAGGGCGGUGAAGUCAGACCGGAAGGACUGGUGGAGCGCUUAGAAGUGAGAAUGCCGGUAUGAGUAGCGAAAGAAGGGUGAGAAUCCCUUCCACCGAAUAUCUAAGGUUUCCUGAGGAAGGCUCGUCCGCUCAGGGUUAGUCGGGACCUAAGCCGAGGCCGAUAGGCGUAGGCGAUGGACAACAGGUAGAGAUUCCUGUACCAGUGCUAAUUGUUUAACCGAUGGGGUGACACAGAAGGAUAGGGAAUCGCACGAAUGGAAAUGUGCGUCCAAGCAGUGAGUGUGAGAAGUAGGCAAAUCCGCUUCUCANNNNNNNNNNNNNNNNNNNNNNNNNNNNNNNNNNNNNNNNNNNNNNNNNNNNNNNNNNNNNNNNNNNNNNNNNNNNNNNNNNNNNNNNNNNNNNNNNCACGAAGCAUGAGCUGUGAUGGGGAAGGAAAUUAAGUACGGAAGUUCCUGAUUUCACGCUGUCAAGAAAAGCCUCUAGGAAGAGUAGUACUGCCCGUACCGCAAACCGACACAGGUAGAUGAGGAGAGAAUCCUAAGGUGAGCGAGAGAACUCUCGUUAAGGAACUCGGCAAAAUGACCCCGUAACUUCGGGAGAAGGGGUGCUCUAUUAGGGUGCAAGCCCGAGAGAGCCGCAGUGAAUAGGCCCAGGCGACUGUUUAGCAAAAACACAGGUCUCUGCAAAACCGUAAGGUGACGUAUAGGGGCUGACGCCUGCCCGGUGCUGGAAGGUUAAGAGGAGUGCUUAGCUUCGGCGAAGGUACGAAUUGAAGCCCCAGUAAACGGCGGCCGUAACUAUAACGGUCCUAAGGUAGCGAAAUUCCUUGUCGGGUAAGUUCCGACCCGCACGAAAGGCGCAACGAUCUGGGCACUGUCUCAACGAGAGACUCGGUGAAAUUAUAGUACCUGUGAAGAUGCAGGUUACCCGCGACAGGACGGAAAGACCCCGUGGAGCUUUACUGCAACCUGAUAUGGAAUGUUUGUACCGCUUGUACAGGAUAGGUAGGAGCCGAAGAGACGUGUGCGCUAGCAUACGAGGAGGCAAUGGUGGGAUACUACCCUGGCUGUAUGACCAUUCUAACCCGCCACGCUUAGCGCGUGGGGAGACAGUGUCAGGUGGGCAGUUUGACUGGGGCGGUCGCCUCCUAAAGAGUAACGGAGGCGCCCAAAGGUUCCCUCAGAAUGGAUGGAAAUCAUUCGCAGAGUGUAAAGGCACAAGGGAGCUUGACUGCGAGACUGACAAGUCGAGCAGGGACGAAAGUCGGGCUUAGUGAUCCGGUGGUUCCGCAUGGAAGGGCCAUCGCUCAACGGAUAAAAGCUACCCCGGGGAUAACAGGCUUAUCUCCCCCAAGAGUCCACAUCGACGGGGAGGUUUGGCACCUCGAUGUCGGCUCGUCGCAUCCUGGGGCUGUAGUCGGUCCCAAGGGUUGGGCUGUUCGCCCAUUAAAGCGGCACGCGAGCUGGGUUCAGAACGUCGUGAGACAGUUCGGUCCCUAUCCGUCGCGGGCGCAGGAAAUUUGAGAGGAGCUGUCCUUAGUACGAGAGGACCGGGAUGGACACACCGCUGGUGUACCAGUUGUUCCGCCAGGAGCAUCGCUGGGUAGCUAUGUGUGGCAGGGAUAAACGCUGAAAGCAUCUAAGCGUGAAGCCCCCCUCAAGAUGAGAUUUCCCAUUUCUUCGGAAAGUAAGAUCCCUGAAAGAUGAUCAGGUAGAUAGGUUUGGAGUGGAAGUGUAGCGAUACAUGGAGCGGACAAAUACUAAUCGAUCGAGGACUUAACCAA